CAAUAGCGUAUAUUAAAGUUGUUGCAGUUAGAACGCUCGUAGUCGGAUUUCGGGGCGGGCCGACCGGUCUGCCGAUGGGUACGCACUGGUCGGCGCGUCCUUCCUUCCGGAGACCGUGCCUACUCUUAACUGAGCGGGGGCGGGAGACGGAUCGUUUACUUUGAAAAAAUCAGAGUGUUUCAAGCAGGCAGCUCGCUCUUGCAUGGAUUAGCAUGGGAUAAUGAAAUAGGACUUUGGUGCUAUUUUGCUGGUUUCGAACACCGAAGUAAUGAUUAACAGGGACAGUCAGGGGCACUCGUAUUCCGCCGAGAGAGGUGAAAUUCUCAGACCAGCGGAAGACGAACUACUGCGAAAGCAUUUGCCAGGGAUGUUUUCACUGA
This 380-nucleotide ribosomal RNA is filed under the name uncultured eukaryote. Its description in RNAcentral is "partial 18S ribosomal RNA". It matches the Rfam family "Eukaryotic small subunit ribosomal RNA", at positions 592 to 976 of the family's 1831-position model. The record is from RNAcentral.